RNAcentral lists this ribosomal RNA (467 nucleotides) under uncultured bacterium. RNAcentral describes it as "partial 16S ribosomal RNA". It matches the Rfam family "Bacterial small subunit ribosomal RNA", at positions 28 to 506 of the family's 1533-position model. The record is from RNAcentral.
GACGAACGCUGGCGGCGUGCUUAACACAUGCAAGUCGAACGGUGAAGCUCCAGCUUGCUGGAGUGGAUCAGUGGCGAACGGGUGAGUAACACGUGAGCAACCUGCCCCUGACUCUGGAAUAAGCGCUGGAAACGGCGUCUAAUACUGGAUACGAGAAGGGUCCGCAUGGGCACUUUCUGGAAAGUUUUUCGGUUGGGGAUGGGCUCGCGGCCUAUCAGCUUGUUGGUGAGGUAAUGGCUCACCAAGGCGACGACGGGUAGCCGGCCUGAGAGGGCGACCGGCCACACUGGGACUGAGACACGGCCCAGACUCCUACGGGAGGCAGCAGUGGGGAAUAUUGCACAAUGGGCGAAAGCCUGAUGCAGCGACGCCGCGUGAGGGAGGACGGCCUUCGGGUUGUAAACCUCUUUCAGCAGGGAAGAAGCGAAAGUGACGGGACCUGCAGAAGAAGCACCGGCUAACUACGU